RNAcentral lists this unclassified non-coding RNA (254 nucleotides) under uncultured Acidimicrobiia bacterium. RNAcentral describes it as "contains 16S-23S intergenic spacer region". It matches the Rfam family "Bacterial small subunit ribosomal RNA", at positions 524 to 776 of the family's 1533-position model. Lineage: Bacteria; Bacillati; Actinomycetota; Acidimicrobiia. The record is from RNAcentral.
UACAGAGGGUGCGAGCGUUGUCCGGAUUUAUUGGGCGUAAAGAGCUCGUAGGCGGCUUGGUAAGUCGGACGUGAAAUCUCCUGGCUCAACUGGGAGGGGCCGUUCGAUACUGCCACGGCUAGAGUCCGGUAGAGGAGUGUGGAAUUCCCGGUGCAGCGGUGAAAUGCGCAGAUAUCGGGAGGAACACCUACAGCGAAGGCGGCACUCUGGGCUGGAACUGACGCUGAGGAGCGAAAGCGUGGGGAGCAAACAGG